ACACUGUGAUCAUGAUACAUUUUUAAUUAAAAAAUAUUUUUAUAAAAACACUUUACACUGUAUUAUCAAACAUGUACUAUGAAAUAACUUAAGUUGACUCGACCCAAGACUUGAGUUGUUGGUUGGAUGAGUUGAUCUAGGUCAAUUUAAGUUUUUUUUUCUCUAAACAAUGUUGUUUUGUUAUAAAAAACCCGGAUUUUUCUGUUACUUUGAGUCAACG
RNAcentral lists this long non-coding RNA (220 nucleotides) under Populus trichocarpa (black cottonwood). RNAcentral's name for it is "long non-coding RNA (PTRI_LNC003190)". Lineage: Eukaryota; Viridiplantae; Streptophyta; Magnoliopsida; Malpighiales; Salicaceae. The record is from RNAcentral.